AUACGGAGGGUGCAAGCGUUGUUCGGAAUUAUUGGGCGUAAAGCGCGUGUAGGCGGUUUGUUAAGUCUGAUGUGAAAGCCCCGGGCUCAACCUGGGAAGUGCAUUGGAUACUGGCAGACUUGAAUACGGGAGAGGGUAGUGGAAUUCCUGGUGUAGGAGUGAAAUCCGUAGAUAUCAGGAGGAACACCGGUGGCGAAGGCGGCUACCUGGACCGAUAUUGACGCUGAGACGCGAAAGCUAGGGGAGC
This 247-nucleotide ribosomal RNA is filed under the name uncultured bacterium. RNAcentral's name for it is "partial 16S ribosomal RNA". It matches the Rfam family "Bacterial small subunit ribosomal RNA", at positions 523 to 769 of the family's 1533-position model. The record is from RNAcentral.